This is a non-coding RNA of Heterocephalus glaber (naked mole-rat), 1209 nucleotides long. The record is from RefSeq and is a predicted model, not a curated record. NCBI's taxonomy places the organism in Eukaryota, Metazoa, Chordata, Mammalia, Rodentia, Bathyergidae.
AUCACAGACCAUUGCCAGGCUUGGAGAAACCAUCCCCAGGGGCCCCGAAGGCGCCUGGUGUGGACUCAGAUGCCAAAGCAGGGAGAACAGAAAGCCUGGGGCCUGGCCUUGACCUGCACAGCAAAAGAUGUAAUGUUUACAUUCAACAGCUGCUUUCCAAGAUGAGGGGACAAAAGCCAUAAAGGAAAUCAUUGGAACAUUUAAAGAAAUUCCAAUAUAAUCUAUAUAAAAUAUUUUAACUUUUUUUUUUUUUUGGUACUAGGGAUCGAACUCGGGAUUGACUUCUUUUUAAAAGCAGGAUUGUGAUUACUUCCGUUACUCAAAGCUUAGAGUGAUGAGUCGGUUCAAGGUGAAAGUCGAAGAAGCAAGAGCAUCCCCAGCUUCACCCAUCCGUAACCAGGCCAGGCCCCUACACGCCGGGCAGCAGGACCUCACGGCAAACAGGCGAAGGCCCGAAGUACCAGACAGCUCUAACUGAAAGGCAAACACGGUACCUCCUUCCGGAAAAUGAUCUAAGAUGGAGCCUAGUGCAGAUACCUCCAGUCUCCAGCCAGAGGAGGAGGGAGCAGGAAGCUUGUGCUCCGGAUGUAAGACACCAUCACAAGGAACUUGGGAAAUAGCACAGAGGGCUUUACCACGACCUGCCUUGUACCUACAAUAUAGACUAAAGUCCUAGGGAACAGUGAUGCAGAAGAUUGAAGAGAGAUUUGUAGGCAACACUAUGGAGCUCCCUCACAGAAGCCCAGGCACCCAGCCUUACCAGGCCCUCUGCAACCCCUGAAGCCUGGGACUUGUGUACUCCUUGCCUGAGAUGGCACCAACCCUGCGGGCUCAGGAAGGACUGGCCACCAGGCAGACAGCACAAUGUAACAAAUCUCCAUGUAGCAAGCCUGAGAGCUGAACUAGAAACAGAACGGAUUAAGUCUGAGUAUUUAUAUUGAAAUCUCUCUAGUACAGGAGACCAGCUUGAAACUGCACUGAGCAGGCUUUAGAUAUCACUGUGAGUUGUCCUUCACCAGUACACAGUUACUCCCCUUUUUCAGCCUGGCUCAGUAGUACAUUAGCUCUGCUGUUCUCUACAUCUGCCUUCACGGCCCCUGCUAUGCACUAUCAUCAUACAUACUGAUUAAUCCAGAGCUCAAAGUCUUAGCCAGGAGAGAGCUGAAGAUCAAUUCCUGGCUCCCAGAAGUAAUAAACUAUCAUUCAUUA